GAUGAACGCUGGCGGCGUGCCUAAUACAUGCAAGUCGAGCGAACGGACGAGAAGCUUGCUUCUCUGAUGUUAGCGGCGGACGGGUGAGUAACACGUGGAUAACCUACCUAUAAGACUGGGAUAACUUCGGGAAACCGUAGCUAAUACCGGAUAAUAUUUUGAACCGCAUGGUUCAAAAGUGAAAGACGGUCUUGCUGUCACUUAUGGCUGGAUCCGCGCUGCAUUAGCUAGUUGGUAAGGUAACGGCUUACCAAGGCAACGAUGCAUAGCCGACCUGAGAGGGUGAUCGGCCACACUGGAACUGAGACACGGUCCAGACUCCUACGGGAGGCAGCAGUAGGGAAUCUUCCGCAAUGGGCGAAAGCCUGACGGAGCAACGCCGCGUGAGUGAUGAAGGUCUUCGGAUCGUAAAACUCUGUUAUUAGGGAAGAACAUAUGUGUAAGUAACUGUGCACAUCUUGACGGUACCUAAUCAGAAAGCCACGGCUAACUACGUG
This 497-nucleotide ribosomal RNA is filed under the name uncultured bacterium. Its description in RNAcentral is "partial 16S ribosomal RNA". It matches the Rfam family "Bacterial small subunit ribosomal RNA", at positions 28 to 507 of the family's 1533-position model. The record is from RNAcentral.